RNAcentral lists this long non-coding RNA (956 nucleotides) under Vombatus ursinus (common wombat). RNAcentral describes it as "lncRNA (ENSVURG00010007274.1)". Lineage: Eukaryota; Metazoa; Chordata; Mammalia; Diprotodontia; Vombatidae. The record is from RNAcentral.
GUUAGACCUCUAGUCUAAGCUGGCCCACACUGAGCCUGCAGAGAAGCUAAAAUGAGGCUGUGGCUGCUGAGUUUAGUGGCAGGGAUCAUCCUGGGGGUGGCCGGGACCCCCCUGGGAAAAGCCUCAACAGGAAGAGAACGAGCAAAGGAGGAAAAGACAGCAUCGAAUGACGAUGAUAUCCCUAAAACUUCACUCAGUUGUAUUGGUAGCUGCACUAAAUCUCAGAUACACCAUUUGGAUAGUUCUGAGAAAGAAAAAGGAGAAGGAAAAGAACAAACAGAGCCUGAUCCCUACAAAGAGUCCCCAGGUACCCUGGACCUUCAAAGGACCAUCCUCCUCCAGCUGCUUAACCAGACAACAUCUAUGAACAGGAGCUCACAAAUGGAUUUUAUCCUUCGAAAUCUAAAUGGCAGCAGCAUCAGAGAUCUCUGUGAGGGCUGCUGUGAGGAGAGAGAGAAAGAGGAACUAUACCUAAGCAGGCAACCAAGGAAGACACUGAAGGUGAUGAUGUUUCAUAAUGACACUCAUAUUGACUAUCAAGCUAAGAAAGUCACACACCAGGCUGAGAACCUCAGAGAAGGGUGGUGCUCUGGCUGCUGUGAAGACAAUGGAACCCUGGGGGCCCUUGAGAGAAGAGAGGGAGAAGAAGUCAAAGAAGUGCCUCCUAUUAGCACUGAUCAUGGUGGUCAGGUCCUAGGGAACUCUGGUUCCACAGAGAAGAGAUUGGCUCACCUUUCUGAAGUUUCCCAUGAAGCUAGAGGGCAGUUUGAUCUCGGACUUAGUAAAUACCCUACAGAAACCUUUCCUGUCUUCCCCACAAGCUAAACCAUGCUCUAGUCUACCUUGAAUAAGACCUAGUGCAAUGCCCAGCAGGAACAGAGCACCACGAGAAAUACUUUACUUAUGCUAAAGCAAUAAUUCUGGGAAAUAAAAGGUCCUGUGUUCCAUUCCCUCCA